UAGGACCUCACAGGAUGGCCACAAUGAAUUU
This 31-nucleotide non-coding RNA is filed under the name Rattus norvegicus (Norway rat). The record is from RNAcentral. Lineage: Eukaryota; Metazoa; Chordata; Mammalia; Rodentia; Muridae.